This is a long non-coding RNA of Sapajus apella (tufted capuchin), 8290 nucleotides long. RefSeq lists it as uncharacterized. NCBI's taxonomy places the organism in Eukaryota, Metazoa, Chordata, Mammalia, Primates, Cebidae. The transcript has 2 exons. The record is from RefSeq and is a predicted model, not a curated record.
UUUAACUGGGAGGCAGAGGCUGCAGUGAGCUGAGAUUACACCAUGGCACUCCAGCCUGGCAACAGAACAAGACUCCGUCUCAAAAAUAAAAGGACCCUGCUGCUUCCUUUGCGUCAAUAUCUUCCCCUUCUAGGAGCCAUCUUUUUAGAUUGAAGUCUCCUGAUCAAUGUAGUAGUUUGUUGUUUAAUAAUAGAACUGCAUCCCCAUUAUCCUCAUCCCCUAGACUCCCUAGGGCCAUUAUGGUCUCUUGCUUUCUGGCAAGAGACCUGCCCUAUUGCUUGGGUGGCGGGGUAGGGGGUGGUGCUCAGGGUCUGCCUAUCACUCCCCCUCCCUUAAGCUAUGGGUAUCCCUAUGGAGAUCAAGGUAUCCAUAGCCUGGGGAGAUGCCUCUUGGGCAGCAGGUCUUGAGCUCCCCCUGUGGGAAAAGCAGAUUCCCAGGCUGAUCGAGAAGGGCCCCUCUACAAAUCAAUGCAGAUGAUACAGGGAACAAUGCCUGCAGAUGAGUUCUUUCCUAAGCUUCCCAGGUUUUAGUUUGGAAACUAUUGUCUGGGUCCAGGUGGGAGCCAUCUCCUUCCCUCCUCUGGCUAUGCCCUGGAUCCCCCCUCUUCUGCCUCCCUCCAUUUUUGCUCUUCUCAUUUUUUAACGUGUGCUCUGGAAAAAUGCUAUACUUGUCUCAUCCACACUGCAGUGUAAAUAUAUUCAUUCAAGGAGUGUUUAUUGAACUUGUCUUCCACACCCUGGCUAAAUCCUAGGGACACAGAUGCUCUAGAAUGUAAGAACCAUGCAGUACAGUUCUCCUUGGACUGACCUAGUUCUUCCUCCUUUCUCACUUGUAGUUCUCAAGAAUAACUGGUGCGUGCUGGAAGCAUAACAUCCUGAGACAAGGAAGAACUGGCCAGAAUAUCCUGGGCUCCACUCUUGUCCCUCCUAGAACAAGAUGUCCUUCAAUACUUUAGCCCAGUGUAUCAUGUUGUCCCCAGGGUAUAAAACCCAGGUGGACUGCUUUCCUGGCCCUUCAGCUGUGGGGCAAGUGAGGCACAUGAAGACAAGAUUCCAUCCACUCAGGGCAGCUUUUCUAAGCCUUGGAACUGACUUGCUAUGUAUUCUAGGCUUUCACUCUUUCUUGCUGUGUGUGAGUAAAAACGUUGCUUCACUUAACUUGCAGUGAGUGUUCUAUCUCACUGGACUCAAGCAAGUAGUAGAAAUUGCAGCCCAAGAUGCAGUGGGCUAAAUGAUGCAGUGGGCUCACCUGUGCAUCGUGAGCCUGCUCCGCAGCCCACACAGGCAGAGAUAUUCAUCUGUUUUGUUCCCUGGUGACUCCUAAGGGCCUAGAUCAGUGCCAGCCAUAUAGAAGGUGAUCUAUAAGUAUCUGUUAAAUGAAAAGACAGAAAAGAACUAUGGGACACAGAAAAACAAACAGCUUAACAUCACGAGGGAGCCACAACUAUCUGGGCUGGUGGCAUGGGGGUAACGCGAUUUAGCCAGACAGUUGUAGAUAAAGAAAGUCAGAUUUCUUAGACAAAGUAGGAACAUGCUUUGUAGCAAUGAGGCAAGGGCAGACUCAGCAGAAGAGGAGUGGCUUGCCAGCAAACAAAGGCUUGCUGGGGAUUUUGUAGAAGAGUGUUUAUGCUGUGUGCUGAAGAGGGCUUUGUGCAGCGUUGAGGAGGCCAAGGCUGCAGUGGGAGAACUUGCAGGUCUCUGGUGGCAAGUUGGGUGCAGGAGGGCUGCAUGUCCUGGACCAGGAAGAAAGGCAGACUUGCAGUUUAUCUGCUUUCCCUUUCCUUCUUUCUCCUGCUCCCACCAGCCUGACCUCAGGAAAAGCCUUUGUUUGCUGGCAGUCCACUCCUCUUCUGCUGAUUCUGCCCAUUGCCUCAUCACAAGAAAGUCUUUUCCUACUUUCUCUAGUAAAUCUGCCUUUCUUUAUCUACAACUGUCUUGGUACAUUUUUUUUACCCCCACGCCACCAGCCCAGAUAGUUGUCGUGCUUGAGACAGUGAGCUGUUUGUAUAUCUGUAUCCCAUAGUUCUUUUUUUCCUAAUUAGGACUCCACACUAACUGCCGCACUGUGGCAAAUACACAGAUGUUGUAAGGAUUGGGGAUGACAGAAUUCCGGCUGCCUAGUAGGCGCUUGUUAGAAAGGGCUUCACGAACAGGAGAUGAUUAGGUUGAAUCUUAACAAAUGAGUCGGAGUGGAGCUGGGCACAGUGCCAUGCACCUGCAGUCCUAGGUACUUGAGAGGCUGGGAUGGGAGGAUAACUUGAGCCCAGGAGUUUGAAUCCAGCCUUGGCAACAUAGUGAGACCCUGUCUCUUAAAAUAGUGAGUCAGAAUGACUUGUGAGAAGUCUGAAGUGAAGGGGAAGAGCAUUCCUUAUUGAGGACCAUAUAAGCAAAGGCCCACUAGUGAGCAAUUGAUAGGGUUUGGAAGCUAAGGAAGAGGGAGGGGUCAAAAUUGACUUCCAGAUUUUUGAUUUAGGCAAUUGAGUUGAUGUUGGUUCCAUUCACUGAACCAAUACGAACUUAGGCUUCUUUCAACAAAGGACAUGUUUGUUUUCCUCAAUUCUGAAAGGUGAGUAGGCGUUAGACAGAUGGGGGUAGAGUAGGCAUAUGAGAAUGUUCUAGGCCAGGGGUUGGGAAAGUUUUUCUACAAUGGGCCAGAUAGCAAAUCUUUUCAAUCUGUGGACCUGUGAUCUCUGUGACUGUUAUAGUACCAAGCAACUAUAGAUAACAUAGACGUGAAUGGGCAUGGCUGGAUUCCAGUAAAACUUUACUUACAGAAACAAAUGGCAGGCAGGAUUGGCGGAAUUGUCCUGUGGGCCAUAGUUUGCCAGCUACUAUUUUAGGCCAGGGGGGCAGGAGGUACAAAGGCCCUGAGAUGGGAAGGAAUGAGCUAUAUUUAGGGAACUGAUUCAUGGCCAGUGUGGCUGGAGUUAUUAACCAAAGAAAGGGGUUAGCAGCUCAGAAGAAGUAUGGAGUUGAGGGCAGGCAAUAGAUAACUUACAGGCUUGUAACCCAUGUUAAGGGUUUUGUAUUUUGCCUUAGUGGGAAGUCACUGAGUAAUUUAAACACUUUUAAUUUAGCUAUAAACAUAUACAGAAAAUGUGCAUAUUAUAAGUGCAUAGUUAGUUGAAUUUCCGCAAACUGAAUAUCCACAUAAACAGCAUGCAGACCAAGAAACAGAGCAUUAUCAGAAGCCAAGAAGUAUUCACCUUGCACCCCCAGCCAGUCCACACCCCUCCAGUCAGCACCAUUUGGACCUUCUAUAACAUGUAUUUGUUUGCCUGGGUUUCUAUUUUAUGCAUAUGGAAUCAUCUGUUAUCUGGCUUCUUUCACUCAAAGUAAUGUCUGUGAAAUCUGUCUAUAGUAGUUGUAGAUUGUCCAUUCUCACCAUGUGAAUACACAAUUGGGUUGUGGAUGAGCAUUUGGGAUGUUUUCAGUUGUGGGCUGUUAUGAAUUGUGCUGCUCUGAAUAUUUAUGACCAUGUCUUGAUAAAUAUGCAUUUCUGUUGGAUGAACAUGCUUAAUGGUUUAAUUGCAGGGUCACAGGAUGGUUGUAUGUACAGCUUUAGCAGAUAUUAUAGAAUCAUUUUCCAAAAUGAUGAUACCAUUUUACAUUCUCACAAACAAGGCAUGAGAGUUCCUAUCUCUUCUCAUACUCACCUCCACUUGAUGUUUUGCACUGAAUAUUUUUUUAGCUAUUCUGGUUGUUUUGUAGAGAUAUAUCACUGUGGUUUUAAUUUUCAUUUUCCUAAUAAGUGAACAGGGAGCAUAUUUUCAAAAUUUUAUUGGCCAUUGUAGACUUUUCCAAGAGCAUGAAAUGAUCAUAUUUGCAUUCUAAGUAAUCCUCUCUGGCUUUUGGUGUGGAAUAUCUAUCUGUGGGUAUAGCAGGAAUCCAAACAGGGAUUUAUUUGAGUUAGGAGAUCAUGGCAAUAUUGAGGCCGAAUGUGAGAAUAGCUUGGACUAGGGCAGUGGUAGUUGAGUUGGAAAGAUGUGGAUGAAUUUGAAAGCCAUUUCUGAGGUAAAAUUGAAAGGACCUGGUGGUGGAUUAGAUGCAGGAACUGAGAGACAGGAAGGUAUACAAAUUGUGGCUGUAAGAGUUCUGGUUAACGCAUCAUUUCUGAGUUUUAGGUUUGAGAUCAUUGCAUAUAUUUUCUUUAGGAUUUUUUGGUUACUUUCAAAAGACUGGAGAAGAAAAUUUCAAUGGAAAAAAGGAACACAUCUAAUAUGAUGUAAAGAUAACCAAAUUUCAUCUGAUGACAUUUGCUUGGACUUUAACCAGUAUUGUUCAUCUGAGGGCUGAAGAUGUGUCUCUUGAAGUCUCAAAUUCCCACUCAACUUCUCAUAACCAUUAGGACUGAUUUAGCUGAAUAAUAUUGGGUAAGUGACUUAACCACUUGGAGUGUCUGAUUUUUUAAAAACAUGUAAAAUGGUGAUAAUAACAUCCCUGCCUUCCACACUUGUUUUGAGGAUGAAAUGAGCUAAGAUCUGAGAACUUGCUCUGUGAAGGACUCCUUGAAUGAGAAUCAUGACUGAGGCUGGCUUUACCUUCAGAUCAUUAUGAACUUCAGAUCAUUAUGAAAUUUGGUAAAUUAUGUGAAAACUCUUUAGCCUUAAAUGAAAUUUCUUGCUCCCAUGCUUUGCAUUCUAGUGCCAUUGUUUUAGGUUCCAGGCAUCACAUUUAGAAAUUUAUCUGUAGCCUUUAAGUCAGUAACCUAGGUAUGAACUUUAAUCUGAUUUGCUUAUUUUUCUCUGCAUUUAGAUAGGAAAUUCUACUGAUGCUGGUAAAGAGUAGGCUCACAAAUAAAAUCUCUGGUUUCUUGUGAACAGUUUCCUUAAGUCUAGGCUCACAACAAAAUAAGAAGGAACCAAGUAAGCAGUAUUUUCAUAUACAACAACAACAAUAACAACAACAACAACAAAAGGAUAUAUACUUUGAUUAAAAAAAAAACAAGCAUUACAUACUUACAUAUUCAAAGAAAAAAACAUUUAAACAGUGAGAUUCAAAGAUGUGUUAUUUCCAUGUCUAUGGAAACUAGUUACUGAGACGGAUUAAGUAUAUGCAUGGUUUAUAAUGUUUACAUUCUCUUUUGCAAUUAUUCUAUAGAGUCUACAUUUUGGAUGGUUAUCUAGCCUUGGCUUUGUAUUGAAGUGGUUUAAAUGUUUUCCAUCAGUCUUGUUUAUCACAAGUUUUUCAUUCAUCUCCUAUUGUUGGAUUUCUUACUGUGUAGCUUCACCAAGAAGGGCUCACAGAUACUAUUAAUAUAUUUCUUGAGAUCCUGCAUAUUUGAAAAUGUCAUUGCCUAUAUCCUUAAAUGUGGUUUGAACUGAACAUUGCCAAGUGGUCAUGUCUUCUUUCUCUGAAGACUUUGGAAGUUUUGUUCCACUUUCUCCAGCUUUGAAUAUUGCAGUGGGAAGGUAUUAGGCCCAUCUGAUUUGUUUCCCUUUAUUAUGAGUCAUUUAAUAUUCUUUCAUAUGUCCAUUCUUUCUUUACCUUUCAGGUCUAGUAACUUUACCAAGAUAUGGCUCAGUGUUAGACUUUCUGAAGUUUUUCAAUCUGAAGAGUAAAGGUUUUUAAAAUAUAGGAACAUUUUCUUCUAUUAUAUCUCCGGAUAUUAUCUUGUUGCUUCAUUUGCUCAGUUCACUUCAGAGAUGUAAAUAAUUUUCAUUAUGGAUUUCCUAUGCAUAGCUUUUAUUAUUUAUAGUUUAUCUUGUACCCCUUAACAUUUUUUGGUUCAACUUUCUUUCUCAAGUCUGUCAGAAUUCUACAUGCUUAACUGACACAAGAACAGAAAACCAAAUACCACAUGUUCUUGCUCAUAGGCGGGUGUUGAACAAUGUGAACACAUGAGCACAGGGAGGGGAGCAUCACACUCUGGGGUCUGCUGGGGGGGGUGCUAAGGGAUGGACAGCUGGGGAUGAGGAGGUUGGGGGGGGAUAACAUGGGGAAAAAUGCCAGAUACAGGUGAUGGGGGGAUAAAGGCAGCAAACUACCUUGCCAUGUAUGUACCUAUGCAACAGUCCUGCAAGAUCUGCACACGUACCCCAGAACCUAUAGUACAAUUAAAAAGAAUAAUAAAAUAAAAAUUUGUACAAUGUAUAACCCUGAAAAAAAAGAAUUCUACAUGCUUAACUAUGUUUCCAUUAAUGUCUGUUCCUGGUUUUGCUUCUUCUAAUAUGGCUUUUAUUUUUAUAAAAAAUUUAGUUUCCACUUUCAUGUAUCUCCUGAGUUCUGUCAGCUGCUCUUUUACUUCUUUCUAUUGUAUCAUCAUGUCUUCCCUGAGCAUUUGCUUUAGAAAAUCCAUAGAUUCUUCAAUUUGGUUGAUAUGAUGGACAAUAAUUUGUUGAAAAUUUCACCGUAAUUCAUGGUGAGCUUCUGAUGUGUAUUCUUUAUCUGCUGCAUCUUCUUUUUCUCUUAUAUUACCUAGGCUAGGUCCCAAAGUGGUUUGCUUCUCAUUAUUUCUUAUCUAUGAAUGCAGACUGUUCUUUUCUGAUUUCUGUCUGUUAGCGAAGAGCAAGGCUAAGAGACUGGAGAAGUGAACUAAAACUGCAUGCACCUUAGAUUGAAGAUAUUGCCUUAGAACUUUUUUUUUUCCCCCACAAUGACCUAAGGAAAUACUUCCACCAGGGCUGAGCAGUGGGCCUGCCUGGCUCAUUUAGAAACUCAUGUAUAGAGAUUUAGCACUUGCCUUCAAUUUUAGCUGUUGAAUAUAAGCACUUGCAGAGCUAAUUCUUACCGUGUCACAUUGACCCCAAAGAGCCUAUGAAGAUAAUGGUCUGUGACCCUUUUUUUCAGCUCCCUUUCUCCCCAGCUGCUUCAUGGAGAGUAGAGCUCAGGGAUGUUCCCGGCCCCCUCUGCGCUGGGCAAAGGCAUAAUGGUUUAGUUUUUCAGACCAUUUCCCCAUUUUCUGCUAUGAGCCUGCAAUGACACAAGUCAUUUUCCAGUAUCUCCCUUUGAUUUGGUUCAGAUUUCAUUGCACUUGGCAGCUGAUCUUUCUAGAUUGAGGAUUUGGAUAUUUAUUGUUUCCUAGUUUUACCAAAGGCAGAGUUAUUUUACUUACUAUGGUUUCGUAUUUUUUUUUUUUUUUUUUUUUUUUUGGCUUCAGAAGAGAGAGUGGGAUAGAAAAGCUUAAUUUUGCCAAAUUUAAAUGAAAGUCAAAAAUACAUAUUUCUUUCUUCUAAAGAGACCCAGUUUUGCAUACAAAUUCCCUGUGGCAAAGAGAAAUGGUAAAGUGACAUCUAAACCACUAAACCACUGCUGUGUGCCCUAUACAUAUUGAUGAAUACUACUAGCUCACCUCUAGCAGUGUGGAACAUAUGAUGUCUUAGUGUGUUUACAAAAAGAUCCUCCGUCUAAGAAGGUGAAUUAGAGGAAGGUACUGAGCAGAUGCAGCCCAAGAGCUUAUAACUGGGUCAGCUCAUUAAACAUUUAUGCGUGGGAAAUAAUAAUUUUCUUUGGUUGGAGAUGGCUCUGACUCGGAGUUCGUGGUUUGGCAAGGGGUAUGUUGGCUGGAUAUCAGCUUCCUUUUAGUUCUCUAGGAAGACCAAUGGAUCUCAAGCCAGACAAUUAAAAAGAAAUUCAUACCUAGACCCAUCAUAGCGAAACUACUGGACAUUGAAGAAAAAUAGGUCUUAUAGUCAGAGAAAGAAAGCAAAUUAUCUUAAAAUAAUGACAAUUAGUAUGACUGCUGACUUUUCAGUAGCAACAAUGAAGCCAGAAGACACCAGCAAGACAUACUAGUAUCUUUGUAUUCAAUAUACUGAGUGAGAAAACCUAAAAUUUUACUCAGUGAAACUAUUAUUCAAGAAUGAGGAAAAAAUAUGACACUUUUGAAAAACAAAAGCAGAUGACUUUGUUACUAAAAGAUAUUUGCUGAAGGAAAUCCUAAAGGAUGUACUUCAGAAAGAGGGUUAAAAACAAGAACAAAAACAAAAGAAAGAAGGUCUGUAACCCCCAACAAAGGUAAACAAAGAUAUCUAUCUAUCUGUCUAUCAAUCAUCUAUCUAUCUAAAUGUGACAGUGUAAAACAAUAAUGUUGACUAAAUCAUGGGGACCAUCAGCUAUAACUAAAAUACUGGAACACAAUGUAAGCCAAAAGCGGGUGAUCAGCGUUAAAGCAAUCUAAAUUCUUUAUAUUAAUUAGGAGAAAGGUAAAGUAUUGAUUAAGUUUAGGCUGUUAAAAAUGAAUGCAUAUUUAAGUUAUAAGGAUAACUUGAAUAUACUAAAGUAUAAACUUUAAGAGUAAGUAUAGAGCACGUAACUCACAAACAAGUACAGAGAAAAUGGAAUAAGAAAAA